Molecule: long non-coding RNA, 8613 nt
Filed under: Sus scrofa (pig)
Lineage: Eukaryota; Metazoa; Chordata; Mammalia; Artiodactyla; Suidae
Description: lncRNA (ENSSSCG00025029239.1)
Source: RNAcentral
UUCACCAAGUCCUCCGAGAUCCUGAGCAGCAGCAGAGCUGGUGCCGCGCUGGUUAGGAUGGGAGGAAAUCUUCCAGAGGAAACUUGGCUUCAGGCUGUCUUGGAGGGAGGCUGAAGCGGAGGACAGGCCUUUUUAUUUUUUUUUUUCCCCUCGCAGCAACUGGAGAUACUUGAGCUUUUGCAAAAAACAGAGACGUCUUUGCUGCAGCUGCCUCCUCCUCCUCCUCCUCCUCCUUUUCCAUCUUCUUCUUCUUCUUCUUCCUUUUUUUGUGAAGUGUGGGUUGAUUGAGAGGGGAAAUGCUGAUGGGUGGGUCUGAAAGCAGCCUUAGGAACCCGAGAAAAUAAAAACACAGUUGAAGGACUCUGGAAGAUUUUGCAUUUCAAAGGGUCUACCUUGUAGAAUUUCACAUCACGUCAGGGGUUACGGAGAAGUGUGACAGGCACCCCGCUUCUUUACCGUUCUCUUCUCCUGCCGUGGGGGCUGCUCGGGAAGCUGCCUUGGGGGGGAUGGGGGCCGCCCGGCCAGACUGUGCAGGACUGUCACGGAAACAACAGCACCCCUUAGGCAUCCGGAGUCCCCGGAGGGACUUUUUGCACUGGCCCCUCUCAGGAGUUGAAAGCAGUGGGCGGUCGGUAAACAGCGCAUUUGAUCCCAGGACGCAGGAGCAGUCAGAUGGUGGGGUCCCCCUGGGGUCGGGGGGAAGCUGCAGCCCACGACCGCUGUCUCGCUGGACCUAACGUGCUGUGGGCCCUCUCGUCUGGCUGGCCCUGCCUCCCGGGGGUUGCAGGAGGAUCGUGCGAGAGCCCGCCUGUCUGGGAAGCCCCUCCUGAGGGGUGGGUGCCACCGGGCCACAUGAGCUGGACUGGAUGGGCAGAAGUUCUGCCAGACGGUUCAGGGUGGGCUGCAUGCCAGCGAAGCACAGAGGACCUUUGGGCAGAGUGGAGGUGAAACCCAGGGCUGUGUCAUUUAGAGCCAGGGUGGCAUUCAGCCCUGGAACCAGCGCCUGGGUUCAGAUCCCAGUCUACCCCCUGUCAACCAUUUGCUCUUAGGCAGUUGACUGCCUCUCCCCGCCCAGUUCCCUCAUCUGGGAACUGUGGCACCCAGCCCGUGGGUUUGGGGCACCGAGCGAGACCAUGGCUGGGGACACUUGGAGCCCAGAGGGUGUUGGUGUGCAGCCUGUGGCAGGCCCGUGCUGUUGGGGGGACAGAUGGAGGGCUGGGAGCUCCAGGGGAAGGAGCAGGGCAACUGUCCUCACGGCCCCAGUGGGCAGCAGGAUGAGGGUCAGAGCAGAGGGGACUUAAACUUGAGCCGCGCUUGGCUGGACGGGUUCGGCUGGAGCAGCUUUCCUCGCGCAGUGGUCCCCGCUCUCAGAUGUUUUGAGAUGAGGGGAGAGGAAGAGCUGAAAGCAUGUGGCUCAGUCUAGGGUGCAGGGUGUCUCUUCACCAGAGUUAAAACUAGGGAAAUCUUUUAUGCUUUCUCUUUAGGGAACAAAAAUCUCUGGUUUCCAGAGGUGAUUUAAUUUGGCCCUAAAUACAGAAAAUUAAAUCCAGGUUGUGUCACGACGGAGCCUCGGAAUCCUGGCUCUGCUCGCACCACCUUCUGUGGAUGGAAUCCUGGGAGAGCUCCGUGGCCACCCGCCUGUAUUUGUACCGAGAGGAAGGUCCAUCUCCUGCCUUUGAGAUUCUUUUCAGAUUCUCUGCAGCCGCCGCCUUAUUUCAUUUGGCCCCUUCUUUCGAGUUGCCGAACUGCCUUUCACCGCUGCGGCCAGCAUCCCCUCGGUACAGGUUACACGGUCGCAGUUGAGGCGCUUGCCCCCAGCCUGGCCCCCUUUUGCCGACUCCCGGGGUCUGCUGCCUCCGGACCCCUUUGCCACCUGAACGUGGUGCCAGCUUCUAAAGCAGGAGCUCAUCCAAGCUCAUCCCAGCUUCUGAAAUGAGUCCUCGACUAGGAUGAUGGCGGGAAGGGCUGUUCCCUCCCCCGCAGGCACUGGCCUCCCUUGGUGCGGCCAGUGGUCCCUGAUAGUCUCCUGAGUGUUGCCCCUUGGCAGCCCCAGCCUGGCAUCGUGUGGGGUGAACAGAGAGGGCAGUCUUGGCUUAAGAGGUCACCUGCUGUACUUUGGGCACCUCUGGGGGGCACCCCUCCAUCUGGGCUCUGAAGACUGCAUCAUUCUCUGGGGUCUGGGCGGGUGCCUUGACUCCAUGCUGCAGCAGCAGCCCCUGCCCUCAGAAGCUGGCACUGCUGGUCGGGGCCGGCUCUGGCGAGCUCUCUCCAGAGAGAGCAGUGGCUGGGCUUGGGUGGCCUUGACGCUGACCUUCUUCCUGGAUGUCGCGAAGCCGGGUGAUGGGGGGCUGUGUGAGGGAGGUAAGCGAGGCGUCUGGGCUGCCUCUGGUCCUGGCAGAGGUGACAGAACUCAUCUUCCUUGCUCUCUGGUCCUCUUCAGACUUGUCACUGAUUCCGUGGUGACCACAGAACACUCCGCCGCGCUGGUGAUCCGCUCAGUCAGUGUCACACAGUGACUAUGUGUGGUCAGGCCCUGGGGAGUUGAGAGAUGUGUAAACCGAAUCCCUGUCUUGGAGGAGUUUGUAGGCCUGUGUCUGGGUCACUCGAGCUGCAGUUGUGUUUAUUUGCGUCCUGCCGGGUACCAGCGACAGUGCACUAAGUGCUGUGGAGGUGUGGGUACACAGGGUCCUGAGGGGUCACAGGUGGGUCCUUUAAAUCGAGGAGGCCUGAGAAAGGCUGCCUGCAUCCUGAACGAGCAGGAGUUGAGACGGACGCAGAACCGGGAGGAGGCGAUGUUCCAGACCGGGGAGCGGUGUGUGCAGAGGAGGGCUCUCGAGACCGCCUCGCGGGGGAGAAUAACCUUGGCUGCAGGGUGGGAGGCGUGCCAACCGGCAGCGUGGCAGUGGGCACCAGACGGAGCCAGACUUUAUUCCCGGAGGGAUGGGAGCCGGGAGCCACGUGCCGGUGCUUGCACUGUGGAAGGCUCGGUGCCUGGGGGGUGGCAUUGCUGAGUGGGGCUUGGAGCAGACACCUGGGAGACCACAGAGUGACCCAGGAGAGGGGUGGCUGCCCAGGGCAGGGCGAGGCCAGAGGGGUGGCAGUUGGUUGGUUGGUCACCAGCUGGAUGCCGGGGAGGAAGCAGGAGGAGGAGGCAGCGGGGAGACUGCUCAGGGCCCCCAUCCCUUUGACCUUGGAGUGACCUCCUUGGAGGGCACAAGACCAGGCGCCAACACAUGGACUCUUCACCAAGUGCCAUCUGCUUGGCCAGAGGGGAGUGGUGUGUGUUUUAGUUGAAGCCCUUGCUUUGGUGGGGGGGGGCACUUGGAAUUCCCAAGAACUUCCAAAGCUUCUUGCCUGUGCCUGUCCUGGAACGAAGGACAUCAAAACGAAUAAAACCUUUUGGCAUUGCACGAGUUGGAAAAGCCUGAUUCGGUGUAAAACUACCUUCCCAACCCCUUAAAGGCAAAGAAAGUAACCGUGUUGGUGUGAUUACAGAAGGAGCUCGGGCGCCCUUUGGGCUCUGUCGUAGCGUGUUCCCGCUGGUGUUUUCCAGGGGUGGGGGAGUGGCUGACACAGACACUCGAGAAUGUUCUGCCUGGGUCACCUGACGCCUGGCGCUCCUGUGGACUCCACACCCUCAGAUGCCAGCCCAGAUUCCAGGCCCCACUGGCCGUGUGGCAUGUGACUCGGGCCCAGAGGAAGAGAAUGAAGGAACAUAAUGAGCCUACGAGGACCGGCAGUUCAGCAGCUCACCUUGGCUUUUGGGGUGUCUUUUCCGAGCCUCGUUGCGGUUUUUGCUCACGGGCAUCUGGUCUUGCGGAGAGAAGUAAGUUAUCUGCGAGUGGCCUUAAGUUUGGCGGUCAGCCUCCUGUCCAUCAGAUUCCCAGCGCGCUUAGCAAACACCCCCACCGUUGAGAAAGAAAAGUAAGAGCGCUCAGGCCCGGCCGAGGCGAGAGAGGCCACGAGGUGAACUGCAGACGGCAGCAGAAGAGCCAGCUUGCCAGGAGCGGGGCCAAGACCCGAACCUGUCAAGUGCCCAGGGUGCUGCCUGAAGAGGGUAUGGUAGAUCAUUCAAAUUUUUUUUUUUUAAUCAAUUUUUUAAACUUGUAUAACGUUUGGGCAUGUCCUUGAGUGCUGCUGAAAAGGCUCCAGGACGUCUCUGCCCUGGGGCGCCACACAGGGCCCUCCGCUCAGCUGCGAAAGGAAAGCCGCAGCCAGCAGGGCAUCUGCUCCGUGUUGGCUGGAGGAGCUCCUGGCCUGCGGACCUCCUCCUUGGCUUUGAACCUGUGUGUAGACGCCCGACCAGUUCUGCGUGCGCGUGAGCGACCGAACAGCCACUUCUGCCCCAUUUCCAGGUGGCUCUGUGGGGAGACCAGGCAGUCCCUCGUGGAAGGCAGUCAGUGGCCUGGCCAGGCUUCGGGUGCUCUCUGGGACAAGGGCUCUGAUUGUCAGCCCCUCUCCGGAGCUGAAGGAGAGGGCUGGGCCCAGGGGUUUGCGGCCCCCCCGCCCCGUCUGGCUGCCCAUCUCAGACUUGGCCUCUGCUGGUGUUUUGGCUCAACCACCUGGCUGCUACAAAGCCAGCAUGGUGGUCACGGCCGGCGUGUCCGAGGGCCUGAGCGCCCUCUCCUCUGCUCAGGAACGUCCCCGCAGACCUGCUGUGAGAUGGGGGAGAAGCCCUUGGCGCCCCCUUCUGCUCCGAGGAGCCUGGAGGAAGAUGGAAGCCAGCACGCAGUUCACAUUUGAGCUGGGCCUGCUCCCGUGAGAUUGUGCGACUCUCUAAGGAGCUGCAGAAGCAUCUCUUUGUGACCCGUCACCAGGGAGCAGUCCUUGGUUUCAGAGGACUUGUGGGCGGCAGUGCCGCAAAGAGCGACAGACACAUCAUCACUCGGCCGUGCAGCGCCCGACCCUGCCCGGUAAAGGGGGGCCGCCACGGAGUAUCGGAGUGUCCUGUGAUGUCCUGGUGACCGACAGCCUUCCACGAGGGUGACAAGGGCUCCAGAACAGUGGACAGAACAGGAAUCAGGAGAGCACGACAUCACGGGGCCUUCAGGAAAUUGGCUUUGUUUUUCCUAACCAUUUCCUUCUGGUAAGAGGGUUCAAGCCUCUUACCAGACGAAGUGGUUCAAAUGCCAGCCCGGCAGAAGCUUGGGCAGGGCUGAUUGAUGUCCACUGGAAAAGCCCGAGAGGAAGAGCAAUUAGGGCAAGGAGCUGGGAAACAGAGCCCUGGGUUCUAGUCCUGUCACUUCAUUGCCUUUGACUUUGAAGCAGCCACUUCUCUGUAGACUGAGGCUAAUAGUGUUCCACCUCUCAGGAGAGGGAGGGAGCAGCAGGACAUUGUCAGGGCACCCGGUACCUAUCUAGUUGCCAGUCCCCUGACAUUACAAGUUAAAUAAAAUUUUCAUUUAAUUUUUUAGUUGAAGUAUAGUUAGUUUCUGUUUGCAGUAUUGUGUUAGUUUCAGGUGUAUAGCAAAGUGAUUUGGUUUUAUAUAUGUAUGUAUAUAUAUAUCUUCUUCUUUUUAAAAAAUUCUUUUCCAUUGUCGUUUCUUAAAAGAUACUGAACAGAGUUCCCUGUCCUGUCCAGUGAAAACCUUGUGGGUGUCUGUUUUAUAUACAGUAGUGCGCAUCUGUUAGUCUCACACUCCCAACUCACCCCCCUUCCCCGUCUUGCCCCUUUGGUAGCCAUAAGUUUGUUUUUUCUAUAUCUGUGCGUCUGUUUCUGUUUUGUAAAUAAGUUCAUUCGUACUAUAUUUUAGAAGCCACAUAUAAGCGAUAGCAUAUAAUAUUUGCCUUUCUCUGACUUUACUUAACAUAAUCUCUAAGUCCAUCCAUGUUGUUAUAGAUGGCAUUAUUUCAUUCUUCUUUGUGGCUGAGUAAUAUUCCAUUGUACUUACACACCGCAUCUUUCUCCAUUCAUCUGUCAGUGGACGUUUAGGUUGCCCUUGUCUUGGCUGUUAUAAACAGUGCUGCUCGGGACAUUGGGGUGCAUGUAUCUUUUUGAGUUAGAGCUUUUCCCCGAAGUACUUUUGUAAACGCCCACUGUGUGUGGGCCCUGUGUUGAGGGUGUCACAGGAUUCCCACUUAAUUCUUAUAACCACCUUGAGAAGUGGGUGCUAUGAUUGUCCCCUUUUUCUAGAUGAGGAAGCCGAGUUUUUUUUUUUGUUUUUUUUGGCCUGCCAACCUGUGCUUUAUUUUAUUUUUUUAUCUCCUAUAUAAUAUAAUGCAUUUGAUGUAUAUAACUAUUAUUUUUUAUUACUCAAUGAAUUUAUUCCAUUUAUAGUUGUACAGUGAUCAUCCCAAUCCAAUUUUAUAGCGUUUCCAUCCCACCCCCCAGCAUAUCCCCCCACCCCCCCAACUGGCUCCUUUGGAAACCAUAAGCUUUUCAAAGUCUGUGAGUCAGCCUCUGUUCUGCAAAGAAGUUCAGUCUGUCCUUUUUUCAGAUUCCACAUGUCAGUGAAAGCAUUAGAUGUUGGUGUCUCAUUGUACGGCUGACUUCACUUAGCAUGAUAAUUUCUAGGUCCAUCCAUGUUGCUAAAAAUGCCAGUAUUUCAUUCCUUUUAAUGGCUGAGUAAUAUUCCAUUGUGUAUAUGGACCACACCUUCUUGAUCCACUCCUCUGUUGGUGGACAUUUAGGUUGUGUCCAUGUCUUGGCUAUUGCAAAUAGUGCUGCAAUGAACAUGGGAGUACAUGUGUCUUUGCGAGUCAUGGUUUUCUCUGGAUAGACGCCCAGGAGUGGGAUUAAGAAGCUGAGGUUUAAUAAGAUGAAGAUGUCCAAGGUUGUCCAGCUGGUGGGCAGCUCUGUACUCUCUAUUGCGGUUGGUAAACUAAGCCCCCAGGCCGCAUCUGGCCCAUGGCCUGUUUCCGUAAAUAAAGUUUUAUUGGCAUAUAGCCAUGUCCAUUUUUGUACCUGUGUCUGUGGCUGCCUUUGUGCUACACCAGCAAAGCUGAGCAGUGGUCGCAGAGACCAUAUGGUUCACAAGCCUGAAACCCUUACUGCCCAGCCCUUUGGGGAAGAAAUGGGCUGACCCCUUCCCUUGAGGAUGCUCUGUACUCCAGCCCUGCGCUGGCCAGUGUGACAGCCACUCCCCACGUGUCACUGUUUAAACUUCCCCCAGCUCUGUGGAGGGAUAAUUGACACAAUGAUGGUUAUUUAAAUUUAAAACAAGACAGGAUUAAGAAUUUACUUCUCCGCUUGCACUGCCAGGAGCUCAGGAGCUACAUGGCUUUUCACUGUCAUGCAGCACAGCGCAGAUAUGAAACUUAGCAACACAGAAUGUUCUUUCAGGGCACUAGACUGUGUGUGGAAAAUCCAAUUCGGAGAGGAGGCAUUCCAGUGCAAGAAAGGACACCGCCUUUCCUGGCCCCAAACCCCAGAAUCAAAGAUGAGUUCGUUGGCUCGGAAGUGAUGGAGAAUGUGCAGUGUGACAGAGGGAGCCUGGGCCUGGAGCGAAGACGCUGCCCCCAGACCUUCUGUGUGACCGUGGACAAGCCACCCGCACUGUGCAAGCCACAGUGCCCAACCUCAAGGGACCAGUUGCUGCCUGAGGACCCCUCAGCGCUGCCGCCCUCUGGCCAGUCAGCCCAGCUCCUUUCUCCGCAGCUCCUGGCUCACCUGGGCCAGUGGCCACAUCAGCUCUGCAGUGCCCGGUGCCCCCUGCAUUCCCCGCCCCCCAUGUGUGUGCACAUGCUGGGCCCUGCGGAAAUGCACAGAAGUCCAAACUUUGCUGUUUUCAGAGCCUGCUCGGCCCCGGACCAUCUGGACCCCGUGGGCUGCACCACUGUGCCUCCCGUGCUGGGACGGGCCACGGAUAAGGAACUACUUUAUUCAUUCAGGGUGGGGGCUCCCAUGAAGCAGGAGGAAGGAAGGCCAGCUCCAGGCCCCUCGGCCAGCUGAGGUCCCGGGGCCUUCUCCUUUGGAUGCCCUUACCCGCCACACCGAGGCCGUCUGCUGACCAGCUUGGGGCCGGGCUCGGCGGCCGCUCUUGUCUUGCUUGGUUCUGAUGUUCCCUGAAUAGGAAUCUCCUCGGAAGCUAAUUGGGGGCGGAGUCCUUCCGAGGUGUGGAGGAUGCUCUUUGGACCGGACCUUAAAUGGCUUGGGGCCGGCCCCGUCUCCCCCUCGUUGGUGGGUGCCGAGGGGCUGUGCUCGGGGAAGAGCCGGGUGUCCAGACGGGGGUAGCUGCGUUAAUGAGAUGCUGCGCUUCGCCAGGAGUCGGGUCCACUCCCGCUCUUGGGAACAGCUGGGCCUGUCUGUGUUGGGUUUACUCGGGUCCAGUCCGCACGACUCUCCCUGACUUAGCCAAGGGCCCGCUCCCUUUACAAUCAGGAUGAAGGCAUUUCUAAAGUGGAGCAGCCAGUUAGCAGGAGGAGCUUCAGGACCUUGGGCGAGCGUGAGGAAGGAGAAAACCAGCUUAAUUCAGUGAAUUUAGCCAUAAAAGAGUUGCAUGAGGAGUUCUUGUUGUGGCUCAGUGGUUAAGGAAGCUGACUAGCAUCCAUGAGGACACAGGUUCGAUCCCUGGCCUCACUCAGUGGGUUAAGGAUCUGGUGUUGCCGUGAGCUGUGGUGUAGGUCGCAGAGGAGGCUCGGAUCGUGAGUUGCUGUGGCUGUGGUGUGGGCCAG